This 440-nucleotide ribosomal RNA is filed under the name uncultured bacterium. RNAcentral's name for it is "partial 16S ribosomal RNA". It matches the Rfam family "Bacterial small subunit ribosomal RNA", at positions 338 to 795 of the family's 1533-position model. The record is from RNAcentral.
CCUACGGGAGGCAGCAGUAGGGAAUUUUGCGCAAUGGGGGAAACCCUGACGCAGCAACGCCGCGUGAUCGAUGAAGCCCUUCGGGGUGUAAAGAUCUGUCAGUGGGGACGAAACCUGACGGUACCCACAGAGGAAGCACCGGCUAACUCCGGGCCAGCAGCCGCGGUAAUACGGAGGAUGCGAGCGUUAUCCGGAUUUAUUGGGUUUAAAGGGUGCGCAGGCGGAUUUUUAAGUCAGCGGUCAAAUCGUGGGGCUCAACCCCAUCCAGCCGUUGAAACUGGGGAUCUGGAGUGUGCGAGAGGUAUGCGGAAUGCGUGGUGUAGCGGUGAAAUGCAUAGAUAUCACGCAGAACCCCGAUUGCGAAGGCAGCAUACCGGUGCACAACUGACGCUCAGGCACGAAAGCGUGGGUAUCGAACAGGAUUAGAUACCCCUGUAGUC